This 360-nucleotide transfer-messenger RNA is filed under the name Methylacidiphilales. RNAcentral's name for it is "UBA1321 sp002304345 Standard tmRNA". It matches the Rfam family "transfer-messenger RNA". Rfam says of the family: Bacterial tmRNA, also known as 10Sa RNA or SsrA, is named for its dual tRNA and mRNA-like properties. The record is from RNAcentral. Lineage: Bacteria; Pseudomonadati; Verrucomicrobiota; Methylacidiphilae. RNAcentral also lists the same sequence under 1 other name.
GGGGGCGCAUUGGUUUCGACAGAAGCUCGGUGAUGCCCGCCGCAAGUCGAGGAUUGAGUGGGUCUUCCUCGUAAAAAAGCCUGCUCAAACAAUAAAUGCUAACGAAGAGUUGGCUCUCGCAGCCUAAAUAAGGCCUGCAGACGUCGUUGCCCUGAUUUCGGCUAAGGGACAACGGCGACAUUAGCCGGACGGUAUGUCAGGUGAGUCACCGACCUGAUAUGACGAACUAACGUGGAGGCUAAGGAAGGCGGGUGAGUUGGACCACAACCGCCUUCUCGAAAAUCUAACGCCCAAACAAACUUGUAGACGCGGUCAGGGCCUGGUUUUUGGACGGGGGUUCGACUCCCCCCGCCUCCACCC